This 456-nucleotide ribosomal RNA is filed under the name Pseudosuccinea columella. RNAcentral describes it as "partial 16S ribosomal RNA". It matches the Rfam family "Bacterial large subunit ribosomal RNA", at positions 1802 to 2615 of the family's 2925-position model. Lineage: Eukaryota; Metazoa; Mollusca; Gastropoda; Lymnaeidae. The record is from RNAcentral.
GUUAUCAAAAACAUAGCCCAAAGAUUUAUUUUGGGUAAAUUCUGCCCAGCGUAAUUUAUUAGCGGCCGCAGUACUUUGACUGUGCUAAGGUAGCAUAAUCAAUUGGCUUUUAAUUGUAGUCUGGAAUGAAAGGACUAAUAGGGGUUAGCUGUCUCUAUACUAUUAUUUUGAAUUUAUUUAUUAAGUGAAAAUACUUAUACAAAGAAAAAAGACGAGAAGACCCUUAGAAUUUUAAUAAAAUAUUUAAUAAUUUUUUUUUGUUGGGGCGACAUUGAAACAAUUAAACUUUCAUUAACAAUCAAGACAUUUAGGUUUGAAAGAAUAAAUUACCUUAGGGAUAACAGCAUAAUUAAUUAUUUAGUUUGUGACCUCGAUGUUGGACUAGGAACUAGAAGAUUAACCGUCUAAAUAGAUUGUUCUGUUCGAACAGAAAUUCCUACGUGAUCUGAGUUCAGA